RNAcentral lists this ribosomal RNA (497 nucleotides) under uncultured bacterium. RNAcentral's name for it is "partial 16S ribosomal RNA". It matches the Rfam family "Bacterial small subunit ribosomal RNA", at positions 28 to 523 of the family's 1533-position model. The record is from RNAcentral.
GAUGAACGCUGGCGGCGUGCUUAACACAUGCAAGUCGAACGAAGCAUUUACGACAGAUUUCUUCGGAUUGAAGUUGUUUAUGACUGAGUGGCGGACGGGUGAGUAACGCGUGGGUAACCUGCCUUGUACUGGGGGAUAGCAGCUGGAAACGGCUGGUAAUACCGCAUAAGCGCACGGUGCUGCAUGGCACAGUGUGAAAAACUCCGGUGGUAUAAGAUGGACCCGCGUCUGAUUAGCUAGUUGGUGAGAUAACAGCCCACCAAGGCGACGAUCAGUAGCCGACCUGAGAGGGUGACCGGCCACAUUGGGACUGAGACACGGCCCAGACUCCUACGGGAGGCAGCAGUGGGGAAUAUUGCACAAUGGAGGAAACUCUGAUGCAGCGACGCCGCGUGAGUGAAGAAGUAAUUCGUUAUGUAAAGCUCUAUCAGCAGGGAAGAUAGUGACGGUACCUGACUAAGAAGCUCCGGCUAAAUACGUGCCAGCAGCCGCCGUAA